RNAcentral lists this long non-coding RNA (1044 nucleotides) under Phasianus colchicus (ring-necked pheasant). RNAcentral's name for it is "lncRNA (ENSPCLG00000013445.1)". Lineage: Eukaryota; Metazoa; Chordata; Aves; Galliformes; Phasianidae. The record is from RNAcentral.
GGUCAAUACCAGAACCACGUGGAGCCCGAAGGUCCCUACGCCGACCCCGAGGGGCAGUAUGGAUCCCAUACGGACCGGGAGCCGUACCAGGCUCACCUAGAGCGUGACAGGCCCUAUGGGGGACGUAUGGAGCGGGACGGGCAGUACGGAGAACAUAUGGACCGAGACGGGCAAUAUGGGGCACAUCUGGACCGGGACGGGCAGUAUGGGGCGCAUAUGGACCGGGAGAGGCCCUAUAUGGACCGCGAGGCCCCAUACGAAGCGCUGGCGGAGAGGGAAGGAGCGUAUGGAGGCCGUCGGAAGGAGAGGGAGAGGGGAUAUCCGGGACGUAUGGACGGGCAGUACCAGCCCCAUAUGGACCGGGACGGGCAGUACCAGCCCCAUAUGGACCGCGAGGCUCAGUUCCAGUCCCAUAUAGAGAGGGAGGCGCAGUAUCAGCCCCAUAUGGACCGUGACGGGCAGUACCAACCCCGUAUGGAGCGCGAGGGGCCCUAUCAGCCCCAUAUGGACCGGGACGCGCCCUAUCAGCCCCAUAUGGACCGGGACGGGCAGUAUCAGCCCCAUAUGGACCGCGAGGCGCCCUAUCAGCCCCAUAUGGACCGGGACGCGCCGUUCCACGGCUGCUUGGAGCGGGAUCUCCAGUUCCAGCCCCAUAUGGACCGCGAUGGGCACUAUCAGCCCCACAUGGACCGGGACGCACCGUAUCAGCCCCACUUGGACCGCGAGGCGCCCUAUCAGCCCCACAUGGACCGGGACGGUCCGUACGCGGCCCACACGGAGCGGGAGGCGCCGUUUCGAGGCCGGGAGGGGCCCUUCGGAUCUCGGCCGGAUCGGAACCGCUGCGGUGCCGCCCCCCGGGAUUGGGAUCGGGACUGGGGGGCUCUGAGCCGCAGCUCCAGCCCUGGGGGGGGCGGGCACAGCACCAGCGCCAGCACCAGCCCCGCCACCACCCUGCAGCGCAAGUCGGACCGGGACAGCUCGAGGACGGUGAGGUCAGUGCCCCCCACAUUGUCCCCGUGUCCUCCCCUCCGUGUGUCGCGAUAG